CGACGGCAGCAUGGCUUAGCUUGCUAAGUUGAUGGCGAGUGGCGAACGUGGUGAGUAACGCGUAGGAAUAUACCUUAAAGAGGGGGGCAACUUGGGGAAACUCAAGCUAAUACCGCAUAAUGUCUACGGACAAAAGCUGGGGACUUUCGGGCCUGGCGCUUUAAGAUUAGCCUGCGUACGAUUAGCUAGUUGGUGGGGUAAAGGCCUACCAAGGCGACGAUCGUUAGCUGGUCUGAGAGGAUGACCAGCCACACUGGAACUGAGACACGGUCCAGACUCCUACGGGAGGCAGCAGUGGGGAAUAUUGGACAAUGGGGGCAACCCUGAUCCAGCAAUGCCGCGUGUGUGAAGAAGGCCUGAGGGUUGUAAAGCACUUUCAGUGGGGAGGAGGAUUAAUGGGCUAAGAGCUAAUUAAUUGGACGUUACCCACAGAAGAAGCACCGGCUAACUCCGUGCCAGCAGCCGCGGCUAAUACGGAGGGUGCAACCGUUAAUCGGAAUUACUGGGCAUAAAGGGUGCGUAGGCGGUUAUGUAAGUUAUCUGUGAAAUCCCUGGGCUCAACCUGGG
This 567-nucleotide ribosomal RNA is filed under the name uncultured Gammaproteobacteria bacterium. RNAcentral's name for it is "bacterial SSU rRNA". It matches the Rfam family "Bacterial small subunit ribosomal RNA", at positions 64 to 618 of the family's 1533-position model. Lineage: Bacteria; Pseudomonadati; Pseudomonadota; Gammaproteobacteria. The record is from RNAcentral.